CUUUCUCCAGCUGAACCCCCCCCCUCCCACAGUGAAGGGGGGUUGCAGAGCCAGCGGCUAGCUCGGGAGUACACACAGCAUGGUUUCAAUGGGGCUGCAUUGCCCUGGAACAAGAGGCUCAGGGUCCUAACACUUUGCAGAUCCUAGCAGGGAUGGGGUGGAGGUAAAGGAAUGGUCAUUCCCUGGGGGAACCUCACAUGUAAGAGCAGGGAAGACAUGGAAUAUCCCAGGAGAUUUCAUCCCCUAAUCUCCUUGGGUAUUGGAGGAGGUGGAUCUGGGUCUUGGUUUUCCUUCAGGUAAAUAGUCAGUACCCUGAGUACUUUGUUUCGCCUGCAACAUUUUCCUCUGCCUUCUAGGAACAUGUAGCCCAGUGCCACUAUUCCUCUGACCUCACACAGCUUGCACAGAACUUGGUCUACUUGUAUAUCUCCCAGCUUCUGUUAGAGGCGCUCGUGCUGGAUGUGUUCCUGGAGACCUCUGCAGAAUUUUUGAAGGGGUUUUCUGUGCAUGUAGAAAUACACUUGACUUGUAUCUGGCUCCUCUAUUUGAUAGGAUCAGAGGCAGCAGGCACUGAAGUCCAGCAAUGGGAGAUCAUCAAAGGGGAAAAAAUCCAAGCGUCAUUUAAUGGAGUCCACUUCCACUUCCACUCUGAAGCAUCUUCCUGAUGUUACUGGAUGAGAUCUUUGUGGAAGUUCUCGGAUCUCUCUGCUGAUGUCUUCAGAAGUGCUAUGAAGGAUUUUGUGGAUGACUACUUAACCAGGGCUGCUCAUCUUGAAAGCAUGGAUGGAAUAGUAACCAAGGUGGUUCAGAUGGUCUUGCCUAGCAUUCUCCAAGAGGCAUCACCAAAAGAUGGAAUAUGAGGCUAUUUUCCAAGAGGUCAUUUCACAGGUCGUUGAGGACACUAAAGCCUUAGCUCACUUGGUCCUCGGUGACUACAAUGCCAAGAUGAUAAAGCUGCAGCAAAGCCAGAUUACAGCAAUUGCUAGUAAACAACUUAUUGACACCUUUCUUCUGGAGCACUUGAUCAGCAUGACUAGUACAUAUGAUCCUGGAUUUGGAGGGAAGGAGCACGCCAGUGUUCUAGCGAGCAAGUUGGAUGUUUGAUAUUCUCAUCAGGCAGUUCUUUAGCAUUCAGGAGCAGCAGAAGACUACCUCUGAUGGAAAUCUCCCAGCGGAACAUUUUCAAAAAGCUUUUAUCGAGGUGGUAAGUAACCUCGUAUUCUUAGAGGUUGAUUUUUGCUGUCUUGUAGCUCCCCCUGUACAGCAAGGUGGGGGGGGGGGGAGAAAAAUCCACCAUGUACCACCAGGGCUAAUUAAGGAUGAAGGGUUGAUUGUAACACAAGGGAUUAUACAGAGCCGUACUCUGAUUUUGUUUUCUGCUGAACC
Molecule: long non-coding RNA, 1386 nt
Organism: Dermochelys coriacea (leatherback sea turtle)
Lineage: Eukaryota; Metazoa; Chordata; Testudines; Dermochelyidae
Exons: 6
Source: RefSeq, a predicted model, not a curated record